This 2436-nucleotide long non-coding RNA is filed under the name Vigna radiata. RNAcentral describes it as "long non-coding RNA (VRAD_LNC012727)". Lineage: Eukaryota; Viridiplantae; Streptophyta; Magnoliopsida; Fabales; Fabaceae. The record is from RNAcentral.
AGACAAUAUUACAUGCACCUGACAAGUUACUUUGAAAUAAACUCCUCUUUCCAUCCAUCAAACACAUGCCCGAUACGCAAUUCUUUGCUUAGCUACAAAAUUAGAUUAACAAAUUAUUAUUUAUCUAACUCUCAAUAACAACUGACAUACUUUUUAAAGGCAUUCAUUCAAUCUCAAAUAAAAAAGUUAAAACUAAGACUAAGCAUAUUUUUUAGGCACAAGUCUCACAUGGUCAUAAUUCAUCAACUCAUUCCACUUCUUAGAGCCACCAAUUUUCUAACCUCAACAUCCAACAUAUUGAUCCGAUAAUUCAAAUCCCCGAACCAGAAAAUCUGGCUGUUAGUGACUGGAAGAGAGACAUACUAAUUGAAACUGACCCCUGCAACAGUGAGAAUGUGUCAUCACAUCACAUCCACUCAAUCCAAAUGUGUAGGUACAAUACAAUCACUGAUUGUUAGUGAUCAUAAAAAUAAAACUUUGCUAAUACAAGGGUGUCAAAUUCUACACUACUACAUUUAUUUCUCUAGUGUUUAUGAAUCUUAAGUAAGUAAAUCUUGAAAUGCAAUUCCUCAAUGCUUUGUGAUAUGUCUGCCAUAGUGAUGUCACAAUCAGUGUGGAACAUGCAUGUCUUACCUUGUUUCCCAUGUAGCCCAUAAGACCAACCCCAUAAAACCACCCACAGAUUUAUGUGAAACUAAAUUCAUGGUGAGCAAUGAAACACUAUGUUCCGACUGUCGCUCUUAAAAUGAAUCACACAAAAAAAAACAUAAAAAAUGAACAAUAGCCCUGCACAUAAAAAAUAACUGCUGAAAAGUUGUAGCAAUAAGAUUUUGACAACUUUUCAAUAUUAAAUGUCUUUCUUUCCAUAUAGCAAAAAAUCCUUCUAUUAGACCAAAAAUAAAUACAAUAAGAAAUACCAAGUCCAAUCAUACCAAAUAUACAAUUAUACUAACCUAUUCACAAAUGCAUCGUAGCAGAUACUAGAUAAUAAAAGAAGAAGCAUCGUACCAAGAGAACAUCUACUCAAUGAAAAAAAUAUUUCCUUACAAGAUUAAUUUUCACUAGCCCAUUUCAAGAAAAGCUACAUGAAACUUCCAUUUGUUCAUCACUACAUUGUAAAUCUGUGCAAGUGAUAAAGUUGUCUUGGUUGACUAGAUAGUUAGAUCUACCAAGACAAUUAGAAUAAAACUAAUGGAAGAUAAAUAAUCAUGAUGAAAGUUCUAGCAAAAUUCAAAGAUAUUGCAAAUCUUACCGACUAAUUCCAGAGCACAGACAAUGAUUAUCUUUGAAGUGAACUUAGGAAAAAACUCAUUUGCCAAAACUGCGAGAUAGAGCAAAGAUGUUACAACCAGAUUAUUAUCUUAUGGCAUUUUGAACUGUUAUAUUCUCCAGUAGAAAGAGUUGCAACCAGAUUAUUAGCUAUAAGUUUGGCAGAGUGUAAUGCUUGAUUCAACUAGUUCACACGGAUUUUGGGCCAUAGUUUUUUUUUUGCAGAACCUGCCUUUUUCACUAUAACAACCCCUGUUAUAGAGGAUGCUUCUGUAAUUUGUUGGAUGCUGAUGGCAAAACGAAAUCCAUUUAGGGUUAUGUAAUGAAUAAUAAAUAGGUAAACUCCCACCCCAUCCAAAUGCUUUCGGAAAAUGCUUUCCGUAAAAAGAGGGAUUGAUUCGUUUCUGGAAAAAAUUUCCAAAAACAAAAAUUCUAAAAUUAUUUAUUGUGCUUUGGAAAAUAAAUUUCGGAGGUGGUCGGGGUAACAUAAUAAAGAUUGUUUCACUUUGAGGCAUUACUGUGAUUGGCAGGGGUAACAUAAUAAAGCGNCCUUGUUGCUGCUAUCACAGAAUCCCUUCUAUUAACAAUCUCNUCUCUUCGUUUCCAAACUCAAUCAAACAUUAAAUGGUUAAACAUUAAAAGUAGACAUAUCUACCAGCAAAAAAUCAAACAACCGAAAUCCAUGUGGUAAAAGAGUAAUACCUUUCACUUCAUCCAUCUCUUUAUAUCCAAGGCCAUGUAGAAGAGAGCGUAGAAGACGGUGGUGUUCGAAGAAGCCCCAAUUGAGAACCAGCACCAGGGGAAGGAACGCCUCCUAGACCACCUGCUUCCUCUCCGCAUCCCCUGCAGCCUCGCCACUGUCGUUCCCACCAUCUCUACACGGUGAAGGCUAGGGUUUCAGGAUAAGGCCAACGCGAAAUAGACAUGCAUAGUGGAGACUAGGGUUUUAAGGAUUUAAGUGAAAGAGAUUGAUUUUCUAAGGAGAAGAAACACAAGGUGGAGUGAAGGUUUAAGAGAGAAGAGGUGAAGUGAGGUGAAUUUGGGAUGUGAGAGACGGAAGCUCGAGAGAAGGUUCGAGUGAGGUGAAUUAGGAUCGACAUUUUCAGUAAAAGGGAUUAACCAAAAUUCAAUUUCUUUUAAAAAUAAUUUUUUAGAUCCGUAUGUAAU